UCUGAAAUGGCAUACUACAUACUGCUCGUAUACUGAUCGUGACGUAAAAGUAGUAAGUAGUAUGCAGUACGCGAAAAAUGUUUUUUUGCAGUAUGUGACAGUUACCCGGAUGAUGUACUAAUCGGGCAAAAAUUCCUAGUAUACAUCCAGAGCUCACUACGUCGGAUACUGUAUCCCAUAACGCAACGCGGCACCGUUGGAAAAAAACCGUUGAACAUUUCGAAUAAUGGCGGCGGAAAAUGCGAGCGAUGAAUAUAAAUGGACUGAUGUAGACACCGCAGCUCUCAUCAGUUGGAGAUCUACGAAUGAGGGCAUGUUCACGGGCAGGAGGAAUGCGGCGCAGAAGGGGUUCGAAGAAUUUAUUAAGGUCCAGGGGCUAGAGGGGAAGAUGGAGGCCACCAAAAUUAAAAGGAAAUGGGAGAACCUCA
This is a long non-coding RNA of Gadus morhua (Atlantic cod), 428 nucleotides long. RefSeq lists it as uncharacterized. NCBI's taxonomy places the organism in Eukaryota, Metazoa, Chordata, Actinopteri, Gadiformes, Gadidae. The record is from RefSeq and is a predicted model, not a curated record. The transcript is spliced from 3 exons.